UGAUGGUGUCUGUUUGUUUCCAAACAAGAACAGCCUGUCACCGCCGGGAGGAGAAGCAAGGCAGGCUGCUUCCGUCAGGAGAAGGGCCAGUGGGAGCUGGGAAGAAACGCUGCCAGUGCCCAGAGCCUACACAGGCUGCUUGGAGAGCUUGUUCCAAGAACUGAGCAUCCAAGUGGAAGUCAGCGCCACAGGAACAUGGGCCCAAAGGAGCCUCCGAAGGGGAUGCUCUGCUCCACGCAGGACUCCAUUUACAGUGAUCAAGGGCCCCAAAAGACAAUGGCAGGAUGGCUGCAAUUCUGGCUAAUUUUCCUGUUCUCCGUGCAGAGGGCCGGAAGAUUCGUGCAAGAGACACACCCUCGGAGCCUCCGCUGGUAAUUGAGGAUAAUGGGAGCUUUUCAGCAGAGCUGUUUUGAGAUUGAACAUGAUGAUAAAGUGCUUAGUGUGGCAACUGGCAUACAGUAGGUGCAGAAAGUAGUGGUUAUCAUUUGCAAGUGGCACUCAUCAACCUGCUUCUCAGGGCUAUAAAAAUCUACCUCCUUAAAUACUUUCUGAAAGGCUCUAUUUUCUGCCCUUUCAAUCAUUCAGCUUGUUCAGGUAGCUCAGUACCUGCAUGGUUUCUGGCUCUGAAGGAGUUUUUUUUUAAGCUGCACUCAUGGCAGCUUGCCAGUUUAAAAGGAUUCUGUCCCAAGCUGGGCAUGGUGAUGAACGUCUAUAAUGCCAGCACUCUAGGAAGCUGAGGCAGGGAGAUCACAAGUUUGAGCUCAGGCUGGGCAACUUAGCAAGACCCUACCUACAAAUAAAAAAUUAGAAAGGGCUGGGGACACAACUCAGUGACACCUAUGGGUUCAACUUCCAGUACCAGGCCGGGGAAAACUAAAAACAAACAAAAAACCUUUCUCAGAAGCCAGACUGACUCCUUCGCAUUACAAGUCAGUCACCAAUGGCAAACAACUCUGCUGGCAAAUGCUGAACCCUGUGCCUGAUCUUUGAAUCAAAUCUAACGUCAGUCUCCCCUACAUCCUAAUCACAGGUCGCUCGCUGGUCUUUCUGGUCCCUUUCAGGUAUGACUGAGGAGACUUGCAUCAUCUAUAUGCUGCAACGAAAACUUCUGGAGGGGAAGAGACUGUCUCUACAUUAGACUGCUGCUCUGGGAUCUUUCUAUUUUUGUGUUUUAUCUUAAAUCAAGGUUAGCAAAGUUUUUCCUGAAAAGAGCCAGGUGCUAAAUGUUUCCAUUUAGCUCGCUUUGCAAGCCAUGUCUCAUCUGUCUUAAAGCUCUCAACCUUGCCAUUACAGCACAAAACCUUGCCAUUACAGCCACACAUGAUACCUAUACAUUCAGUGAGCUAUGUUCCAAUAAAACUGUAUCUUGAUUUCCCCUUCCAUUUACAUACAGAGGAGAGCACUGGACUCUAAGAAACCCAGACGAAAGAUAUCAUUUGAGCUCAGAGUAGC
RNAcentral lists this long non-coding RNA (1452 nucleotides) under Chinchilla lanigera (long-tailed chinchilla). RNAcentral's name for it is "lncRNA (ENSCLAG00000028208.1)". The record is from RNAcentral. Lineage: Eukaryota; Metazoa; Chordata; Mammalia; Rodentia; Chinchillidae.